Long non-coding RNA from Pezoporus occidentalis (night parrot), 3744 nucleotides. RefSeq lists it as uncharacterized. The transcript has 2 exons. NCBI's taxonomy places the organism in Eukaryota, Metazoa, Chordata, Aves, Psittaciformes, Psittacidae. The record is from RefSeq and is a predicted model, not a curated record.
UUCAAGACAGAACACUUCCUCCACUUUGGUCACUUGUUCUGAAAGGUCUUUGCCUUUCAACCUGAUGAGAAGAGGCAGAAAAUCUUCACUGAACAGAACAGACACUCUAACUGCAGUCUUUAAUCGAGACAGGAAGAACAAACAGACUGCAGAUGCAGUAAUUCGUUCUGUACACCACACAGAAAAUACACCAACAUCCUUGCAGCUCCUCUUUCCAGAACAUUUUGGGACUGGCUGCAUAGCAAGGCAUGGAUAUGGCUUUAGAAAAGGCAGCAGGGCUGGAACUCCCACUGGUAAACUGAAGUCUCCCUCUGCAGCCUCUCUGACAGCACCUCUCAGCGUGCACAAGAUUAAACUUUAAAUUGGAUUCCCACCUCCCAGCACGAAGAAAUGGAAAUGUUUACUGAGUCACUCAGCAGCAAUUGCAGAGAGAGCGGUUGAGGGAGGCUGUCAGUGUCCAGGGAGGUACACUGUUUUCCUCGGCACAGAUGAGCAUAAACAGUUUAGCUAAAAAGGUGACAACGCAUCAAGUGCAUCUGCACUGAGAACAGACACACCUUUGGAUAGAAUUCCUGGCAAAAGCCAUAACAUCCUCCUGCAAAAUCCCUUCCACACACCUGCUGUGCUGCCCGAGAUGCUUUAACUCGCUUCUUUAUACACAGAUCUACACUGAUGCCGUUUCCCUCUUAGACACUCUUAGCCAACAGGCAGCAAGAAACCCAAGUGAGAGCCAUCAGAGGAACUGGACUAAAGGGGAUUUUAUUUUUUAAGCUACUAAUUCAUUCUGUGUUUGCCAUGAAUAACCUAUUAGUUGAAGGCGUUUUCUCAAUUUACUACUGCACAGCUCACAAAGUGCUGUCUCUGGUUACUGGAUUCUACAGUAGCUGGAGACACGCUGUUGUUUCCCACCCCCUUGUUUUAUUUACAACCCAAAUUCCAUGAAAAUACUUUAAAUAUGCAGCAGAAGAACCCAGUGAGAGCUCAUUUUCAGUUCUGCCUCUCAGACUAGCACCUAGACAAAUAAUCUCACAUAGCAUUUGCUACAAGCAGGUUUUGAAGCGUGCUGAACUCCCUCUGAUGCUGCGCAGACGGCCUGGAAGUGAAUCCAUGUGGAGAGCUAAUUAUGAAAACCAGAAAAUGGGAGGAUUUUGUACCACACAGCUCCUAACAUGAGCACUGUUCCUCUGUAAAAAUAGGAACUCGAAAACUCUGGAUCCCAGCCCACCUGCAAAUCCAAGCCUGUCACUAAGGAAACUACGUCCUGUCCUGGGAAUCUGCCACACACCAAUAAUCAAAGCAGUAGACACUGUCUGAUCCUUAGAUCACUGCAGCUUUUCAGCUAACAUCAAGCAGUGGGAAUUCAUACAGGUAUACCCACCAACUCCAGCAUUACUACUGUUACAAUUCAUUUAAUCAGAGAUACGUUUAGCAAUGUUAAAAAUGCAGACAAAUGUUAGGCUUCAGAGUUAACACAGUCUGGAGGCAGCCCACACUUCCCAGAGGAAGAUAAUGAUGUCUGCAGACUCUGGAUAACAGCCCUCCAUUAGGGAAUGGCCCAAAUGUUGUAUUUCUUUACCUGAAAAAAAUUGUAUUUUUCUUGAUUUCUCAUGUACUGAAGAAGACUGCUAGCUGAGAAACUAAAGAGAAAAAAAACCCCACUGAUGACUGACCAACAGCCUACGACAGCAGUCAUUUCAACAUGUACUGUGUGUUCUGCCAGAAAGACAACUGACACUGAAGAUACCAUGCAACAAUCCAUUUUCCUCUCCUUCUCAUCAGGACUUGCUCCAAAGCAUUUCAAAGCAUGGGUGAUGUUACCUACUGAUGAGAGUGCUUUGCUGUCUAAUAAACCCUGUGGUCAAAGGAUGCAGUUUCAGACAAUACUGAAGCUCUGUCUCCAGUAACUGUGCUAAAGAAAAGUUUUCUUGAGGAAAGUGGCUCCACGGGCAAAUUGAAGCAGCACGUUGAUGUCCCAGGACCAUGGGCAGGACACCAGGACUGCCACAUCUAAACCCUGCAGGAAGCACAACACAACCUUUGAUAGCCCCGACCUCAGAGGUACAGUUCAUCUGGAAGACAGCAUGUCCAUGAAUGCAAUGUCCUGCAGUGCAAGCCUGGGCAACAGGCUCCCCAGGAGUGAGCUCAGUUGCCAGUUUUUGCUGCGGGGCUGUACUUUUCACUUGGAAGCUUGCCCAGCAAUCCGUGACAAAGCCAGACCCAGACUGUCUUCUGAAAUCUAACGAGGUAUGGCAGCUUUUAGGGCACAACCAAAGAGGAUGUCAAAUUAUCUCUCAGCCGAUACCCAGAAACGUAAUUUAGUGGGCUUCUACUUACCAUAUUCCUAAAUCCUUGUUACUGUUUAGUAUCCAGUGCAGGGCAGCUUCAAACUUCUGUGGGGAACUACCAGUUAUGUUCUGGACAGAAGAACCCAUAAAAAGAUUAGUUCUCCAUUCAUUUAAAAUACCAAGUGACAUUACUUCAUUACAGUAGUUUCAUUCUAUAGGGUCUGUCCCUGGGUUAAUUCUUAUCAUAAUUCUGCAAACUGAAGGAAGGAAAACCAAAUCUGAAGGUCUGCCCGGACUAAAGUCUUCUGACUACAGUAGGUGAUGCAUGAAGCACUCUGUGAAAUAACACUAGCCCAGACCGUUAAGACUAACCACUAAAUACAACAUAAUCUUGCUGACAGUUUACCAUGAAAGAAAUGGAAUACUAGAUCAAAGCAGUCUGUCUUCUGACACUCUGGGGUAUAGAAAAAUCCUUCUUCUGCCCAGCCCUCAAUCCAAGGAAAAUUCUGGUUUCAGAAGACUGAUGACUAUGGUGAAACAACAAACCAUUAAGUUAGAUUUACAGGGGCUGAACCAGAGAUGUAGGAGAUUAUUCAAAAGAACUGCUGAGAACAGGCCUGGCCAAAGGGGAAGCUAGAGAUAGAGGAAAGAAUCAGAACAGGAUAAGGAAGUAAAACAGAUGGUGAAUCACUUCAGUAUCUAUUAUUUAUUGCCUUAUAAGAGACAAAGCACUAUGUUAUAACAAUAGCUGUUCACAGCCUACUCACCACCACAUGAUCCUUUGCUUCACUAACCCAAAUGCAUUUGCUUUUUAGAUUCUCAGGGUUUCCACAUUCAAAAUUACCUGGUAAAAAAGUCAAAGAGAAAUAAUGUUAUGAAAAAAAAGUCUUUCAACACUUCAGAAACACACUGAAGUGUCCGGGAACGCUAUCCUUCAAAGUUGGCUACACCUCCAAGCAAAAUGAUUACAAGAUAAGAUUUAUACUGUUGGCAGGUAAGAUUAUGACUCUUGAUAAAAUGCUCAGCCACUGCAUAUAGGUUGAAUAAGGGCAAUCAAACCUCGUGCUUCAAUGUGUGAGCUCCUCCACACAGAAUGAGGGGAAAAAUACUGUUGGAGUACAUAACCACCUCUCUGACCUAACACCCUACAGAAGGGCUCCUUCCAUGAGGUAUCAAAGACUGCAGUGUUGGAGUCAACGAUCAGCAUUCAAAAUGCUUUUAAGGAGCCUAAAUCACAGCUCUACUUUCCACCCAGGCAGAAGAAUGCUGGUGAGGAACAUCUAAAUCUUGCUUCACAAAGCUGACCAAGCAAAUAUGCUGAGAGACUGUGUAAAACUGAUGGAAAUUCUGCAGUCUGGUCUGAUCUGAAGAGAUUUAGAAAUUCUAUGAAGCUUAAGUAUCUAAAGACUUCAGCCUUGUUGAGGUCUGAAAUCUAGUAAAUGGAACUUAAGGACUUCUA